GAGGAACCCCAGGGUAGAGCCAGAGCAGCUGAGAACUUGUCCCCCGGCUGCAGCGCCUGCGCCAAGAUCCGGACAUGCAGGCUCAGCGGCCAUGGCUCACGGGCCCAGCCGCUCCAUGGCAUAUGGGAUCUUCCCGGACCGGGGCACGAACCCAUGUCCCCUGCAUCGGCAGGCGGACUCUCAACCACUGCGCCACCAGGGGAGCCCUCCAGGGAAGCCCUCCAAUAAAUAUUUUUAAAGUGAACACUGUGGAGUGACAUCAACAUCAGGGCAGAGACAGAUGCUUUCUUUGUCUCCCCUCUACAACGUACGACCAUUAAACAUCCACAAUUCAGCAUAGAUACCUCUUCCCAACACACCAGGAAACCGGAGAAUCCCAUAGACCUGUACAUCUAAAGGUGGUUGGACUGUAACACACAAAGGACGCAGAACUGGGGAACCAGUGGAGGCAGUGCCUGCAGUACUUGUCCCCCAGCUGCAGCAGUUGAGCUGGCAGCCACAGAGAACACAGAAGCAGCAAGGGAGGUGGCACACACGACUCUGACCUCCUGGCCAUAGCAAUGCUUGUGGCGACAGAUAUCUGGGCAGCAGCGGCGGUGGGACCUGUGACACCAUCCCUCCAGCUACAGAGGCACCCACAACUCCAGCUCGCCCAUCCAUCACCACCCACAGCAGCGUUGCCAGCGAACCUCGCAACCCUGGAUAUGGCAGAAGUGCCCAUGAUCCCAGCUCCCCCUCCCCCUUCUCCUCCCCCGGAAGAGGUGGAGCCUGUGACUCAGGAGAUCUUGGAUGCGGUGGAAGCACCUGCCAUUUUGGUGCCCCGGACGGCGACGCCAGGGACACGAGCAGUAGAAAGGCCCUAACAACCCUAGAGACACAAGCAGGGACAAGAAGGCACCAAACUACACCUCUGACAGAGGCAGUGGAGGGUGGAAAGUGCCAACUCUCAACCAGAGGCACGCAGUUUUUGUUUCAUACUGUAAUCCUCCGCCCUCUGGUAGAGUGGAGUGGGAAGAAAAGAAAUCUCCAGGACUGGAUAAGAAAAAAGUAUAUCAGAAACCAACACAGCUAACCUGAGGGACAGAUUUAGAACUCUUACCAAUUUCUCAUUGAAGCACCUUUCUUACCACCUCUAAAAGAUCUCUGCUACUGAUUUCACCAUUAAGGUGACCCCCCUGAACAUGGCCCCAGUGGUUCACAUGCCAGAACCCUUGUGCCUCAUCGAGAACACUAAUGGGCGACUGUUGGUUAAUCCGAAAGCUCUGAAGAUCCUGUCUGCCAUUCAGCAGCCCGUUGUGGUGGUGGCUAUCGUGGGCCUCUACCGCACCGGCAAAUCCUACCUGAUGAACAAGCUGGCUGGGAAGAACAAGGGUUUCUCUGUUGGAUCCACGGUGCAGUCUCACACCAAGGGCAUCUGGAUGUGGUGUGUGCCUCACCCUGAGAAGCCAAACCACAUCCUGGUUCUUCUUGACACGGAGGGACUUGGAGACGUAGAGAAGGGUGACAAGAAGAGUGACACCCAGAUAUUUGUACUGGCACUACUACUGAGUAGUACCUUUGUAUAUAAUACUAUGAACACAAUUAACCAGAGGGCUAUCGACCUCUUGCACUAUGUGACAGAACUGUCAAACCUGCUCAGAACAGUUACCUCACCUGAUCUUCAUGGGGUAGACAAUGCAGCUGACUUUAAGAGCGUCUGUCCAGACUUAGUGUGGACUGUGAGAGAUUUCUACCUUGACCUGGAAGCAAAUGGGCGACUCAUCACAGCUGAUGAGUACCUGGAGAAUUCACUGAGGCCAAAGCAGGGCACUGAUCAACAUCUUCAAAAUUUUAAUUUGCCCCGUCUGUUUAUACAGAAAUUCUUUCCAAUAAAGAAAUGCUUUAUUUUUGACUUGCCCACUCAUCGGAAGAAGCUUGCCCAGCUUGAGACACUGCAUAAUGAUGACCUGGAUCCUGAAUUUGUACAACAAGUGGCAGAUUUCUGUUCCUACAUCUUCAGCCAUUCCAAGACUAAAACUCUUUCAGGAGGCAUCAAGUUCAAUGGAUCUCAUCUAGAGAGCCUGGUACUGACCUAUGUCAAUGCCAUCAACAGUGGGGAUCUGCCCUGCAUGGAGAACGAAGUCCUGGCCUUGGCCCAGAUUAAGAACUUGGCCGCAGUGCAAAAGGCCAUUGCCCACUAUGACCAGCAGAUGGGCCAGAAGGUGCAGCUGCCCACGGAAACCCUCCAGGAGCUGCUGGACCUGCACAGGACCAGUGAGGAAGGUGCUAUGAAAGUCUUCAUGAAGAACUCUUUUGAGGAUAUAGACCAAGGGUGCCAGGAAAAAUUAGAGACCCUGCUAGAAGCCAAACAGAAUGACUUUUGUAAACGGAAUUUGGAGGCAUCACUGAAUCGCUGUUCAGCUUUACUUCAGGAUAUUUUUUGUCCUCUAGAAGAAGAUGUGAAGCAAGGGAUUUAUUCAAAACCUGGGGGGCAUCGUCUCUUCCUUCAGAAGAGAGAAGAGCUGAAGGCAAAGUACUAUCAGGAGCCCAGGAAAGGAAUACAGGCUGAGGAAGCUCUGCAGAAAUAUUUACAGUCCAAGGAGUCUGUGAGUGUUACCAUUUGGCAGACAGAUCUGGUUCUCACAGCAAGGGAAAAGGAGAUGGAAGAGGCACGUGUGAAAGCAGAGUUUAUGAAGGCUGAAGAGCAAAGGUUGGGAGCAAUUCUAAUGCAGCACCAGCAAAUGAUGAAGCAGAGGGAGAGACUCCAUCGGGAACAAGUGAGACAAAUGGAGAUAAACAGAGUGUACCAGCAGGCACUGCAACAGAGGGCCCAAGAACGUCGGCUCAAGGAGGAGGCUGAAAAGCUCAAGGAGAGAUUCCAAGCUGAGAGCAGAAAACUUCAGGAUGAGAUCCAGCAUCUCCAGAGGAAUGACUCACCAGAUGAUACAUAGUUUUAUUAUGCUGAAUUUCCCAUAAUCAGAUAGGACCUUGUGCUGUUCAGCUGUAUUUCUGGACUUGAACUGAACAUCCGAAGACUCUAGAUAACACCCCCAAAAGAGGAGGAGCAGGAUGGAGGAGAGUGGAGGAGAAAAAGAAGAGAACAAGGCAGUUGAAGGAAAAGUGAGAUUGGAUCUUAGGACCAAGGGUGAAGAUGCUCUUUCUAAUUGGCCUCACUUGAGAGGCACCAAAUCUGUUUCUGUGGAAUGGAGUUAGGGCAAAAUGAGAAACAAUCAGGACUCCAGGGCUGUAUCUGCAGUAGUGCUUAUGAUCACCAUUGAUGAUGUGGCUUGAAGUGAAUU
Physeter macrocephalus (sperm whale) is the source of this 3278-nucleotide RNA transcript. It is a transcript of the gene named guanylate-binding protein 5, with no coding region annotated. NCBI's taxonomy places the organism in Eukaryota, Metazoa, Chordata, Mammalia, Artiodactyla, Physeteridae. The transcript has 16 exons. The record is from RefSeq and is a predicted model, not a curated record.